UCAGGACAAAAUGUUGCUACUCUACAUCAGCAUAGAAUCAUUACAACAAUAAAGCCAUGCCAAGCAUCAUGAAUCUUCCAUUACCAUGACCUCAACCCUUACAGCAGCGAGACCUGCAUUAACCAUCUUGCAGCCAUAAUCCACUCACCUAAAUUGAAUCAAUCCAAUACACCAAAUAUGGACCUAUGCAUCCUAUAAGUUGAUUUUAACCCUGCAAUUGCCAUGACUCUGUCAAACAAAUAUGGACAUUGUUUCCAAGAACAGAUACAUAAGCUGAAGUUUUGUUUCGUGUUGCGCAUAUCGUAUGGAAAACAGGUCACAAUCAGUUAGACCUCAAGGCAAAAACUGCAGAAGCAUGUUGAAAAGAAAUCUUUUAUUAUAACCAAUGCUUUAUAGACAAGGUUAAUACAGGAAAGCUCAAAUCACUUAUAAACCAUGAUUGACGAACCUUAAGUCAGGUAGAAGCAUUGUUGUUGUGCGCAUAACCAUGACCAAUGAUAGUAGGCAAACUUCAGGAGGAAUAAACCUGCCAAGACAGGAAUUACCAGUUACCCGACUAUGAAUGAAAAUUGAAAGUUCAAGUCAUAUAAAAGGAUUACAAAUAUAAAAAUUAAGUUAAGGUUUCUACUGCAGUAAAGAAAAAUCUCAACGCACCACAUAGUUUUUUUGUUCACUACGGACAAAACCCUAUCCUUUCAUUUCGGGGACCAAAUCAAUUUGGAGGACCACCAAAUCUGGAAGGGUUCAUGAAGGAUGAGAACCAAUGAACCUCGUACUCGACUCUAUAAAAGGGGGCAUUGAACCAUUGAAGACUCUCUCGGAUUUACGCAUCGUUACUCUGCCAAAAAAUCACCAUCAAAUCACCAAAGUUCAUAUUAUAAAAACUACCCAGAGUUUCUCAUUGAAACUUUGGAUUAGUCGAACUAAACCGACCAUCGCGACUUGCGACAUAGAAAGGAAGAAGAAGAAGACAAGGAGCGCAAGAGGGCGGAAAGAAGGAAAGAAGGAGUAGAUACCUGAAGCCAUCACCACCGCCGGAAUUUUGCCGGAUUCCCAAGGUUUUCACGAGACCCAUUCGCCUUCACGUUAGGGUUUGCUCUUUUCUACUCUUCGAGAGAUUUUUGCUUGCACCUGUUUUGUGUUUGUUUUAAGCUAGAUGACUAUUGAUGUUGGUAUGGGAUAUGUUUAAGAUUCCAAAAACUUGAUGUUGUAUUUAAGGUUUGUGGCUCCAUUAAAACUCGUGGGUAGGGAUGGGUCUGUAGUUCGUAAAUGUUCAUCCCAUUUUCGACUGAGGUAGAUGUUAGAAAUUUUUUGGUCUUAUAAUAUUUGAAGGUUGGUUUUUGUUUGAAGCCAUAGUUUUAGAGUUAAAGGAAGAAGGAAGUGUAUCGUUCCUUUUUAAUAUCAGCAAUUUCGACUGAGGUAGAUGUUAGAAAUUUUUUGGUCUUAUAAUAUUUGAAGGUUGGUUUUUGUUUGAAGCCAUAGUUUUAGAGUUAAAGGAAGAAGGAAGUGUAUCGUUCCUUUUUAAUAUCAGCAUCUAAGGGCAAUUCUUUUUAAAAAAUCACAUUUAUCCAUGGUAUGAAAGUGGAGUUUCCUAGCUUUAA
Molecule: long non-coding RNA, 1601 nt
Filed under: Lathyrus oleraceus (garden pea)
Lineage: Eukaryota; Viridiplantae; Streptophyta; Magnoliopsida; Fabales; Fabaceae
Description: Pisum sativum (pea) long non-coding RNA (PSAT_LNC009873)
Source: RNAcentral